GAUGAACGCUAGCGGCAGGCCUAAUACAUGCAAGACGAACGGUAAGUUGAGUAGCAAUACUUAGCCAAGAGUGUCGUACGGGUGCGUAACACGUAUGCAACCUACCCUAUACAGGAGGAUAGCCUAGGGAAACCUGGAUUAACCCUUCAUAGUAUUAUUGGAUGGCAUCAUUUGAUAAUUAAAACUGAGGUGGUAUAGGAUGGGCAUGCGUCUGAUUAGUUAGUUGGCGGGGUAAUGGCCCACCAAGACGAUGAUCAGUAGGGGUUCUGAGAGGAAGAACCCCCCACACUGGCACUGAGAUACGGGCCAGACUCCUACGGGAGGCAGCAGUAGGGAAUAUUGGUCAAUGGAUGCAAGUCUGAACCAGCCAUGCCGCGUGCAGGAGAAGGCCUCUGGUUGUAAACUGCUUUUGCCAGGGGAUAAAUUUCCAUGCGUGGAAACUGAAGGUACCUGGUGAAUAGCACGGCUAACUACGUGCCCAGCAGCCGCGGUAAU
This 495-nucleotide ribosomal RNA is filed under the name uncultured bacterium. RNAcentral describes it as "bacterial SSU rRNA". It matches the Rfam family "Bacterial small subunit ribosomal RNA", at positions 28 to 524 of the family's 1533-position model. The record is from RNAcentral.